CGCGGGAGUCGGGCGGACGUGGUCAUCGCCAACCCGGUCAGGUCCGGAAGGAAGCAGCCGCAACGAUUUCGCCCCGGGUCGUUCCGGCUCCCACCGCAA
RNAcentral lists this signal recognition particle RNA (99 nucleotides) under Hephaestia caeni. RNAcentral describes it as "Bacterial small signal recognition particle RNA". It matches the Rfam family "Bacterial small signal recognition particle RNA". From Rfam's summary of the family: The signal recognition particle (SRP) is a universally conserved ribonucleoprotein involved in the co-translational targeting of proteins to membranes. Archaeal SRP consists of a 7S RNA and homologues of the eukaryotic SRP19 and SRP54 proteins. The record is from RNAcentral. Lineage: Bacteria; Pseudomonadati; Pseudomonadota; Alphaproteobacteria; Sphingomonadales; Sphingomonadaceae.